Molecule: non-coding RNA, 108 nt
Filed under: Salmonella enterica
Lineage: Bacteria; Pseudomonadati; Pseudomonadota; Gammaproteobacteria; Enterobacterales; Enterobacteriaceae
Also listed under: 3 other names
Description: antisense sRNA RprA
Rfam family: RprA RNA
About the family: Translational regulation of the stationary phase sigma factor RpoS is mediated by the formation of a double-stranded RNA stem-loop structure in the upstream region of the rpoS messenger RNA, occluding the translation initiation site. Clones carrying rprA (RpoS regulator RNA A) increased the translation of RpoS.
Source: RNAcentral
ACGAUUAUAAAUCAACGCAUUGAUUUAUAAGCAUGGAAAUCCCCUGAGUGAAACAACGAAUUGCUGUGUGUAGUCUUUGCCCGUCUCCCACGAUGGGCUUUUUUUUUA